This 376-nucleotide ribosomal RNA is filed under the name Escherichia coli. RNAcentral describes it as "bacterial LSU rRNA". It matches the Rfam family "Bacterial large subunit ribosomal RNA", at positions 2572 to 2925 of the family's 2925-position model. The record is from RNAcentral. Lineage: Bacteria; Pseudomonadati; Pseudomonadota; Gammaproteobacteria; Enterobacterales; Enterobacteriaceae.
UAUGGCUGUUCGCCAUUUAAAGUGGUACGCGAGCUGGGUUUAGAACGUCGUGAGACAGUUCGGUCCCUAUCUGCCGUGGGCGCUGGAGAACUGAGGGGGGCUGCUCCUAGUACGAGAGGACCGGAGUGGACGCAUCACUGGUGUUCGGGUUGUCAUGCCAAUGGCACUGCCCGGUAGCUAAAUGCGGAAGAGAUAAGUGCUGAAAGCAUCUAAGCACGAAACUUGCCCCGAGAUGAGUUCUCCCUGAGACUUAGAGUCUCCUGAAGGAACGUUGAAGACGACGACGUUGAUAGGCCGGGUGUGUAAGCGCAGCGAUGCGUUGAGCUAACCGGUACUAAUGAACCGUGAGGCUUAACCUUACAACGCCGAAGCUGUU